RNAcentral lists this long non-coding RNA (638 nucleotides) under Prunus dulcis (almond). RNAcentral describes it as "sRNA ncRNA". Lineage: Eukaryota; Viridiplantae; Streptophyta; Magnoliopsida; Rosales; Rosaceae. The record is from RNAcentral.
AUGCUUGCUCUGGUCGCCGCUAGUUCGUUCAUUACCAUGUUCAUGCGUGGAAUACAUCAUUCUAGUGCUCACAAAGUAAGUUUCCUGGAUCUUAUCUUUUGUUUUCAUGUUUUAAUUACAGGGAUUACAUUUGACAUAUUAGAUUGUCUUAUAUUUUGUUUGCCCACUAGGUGUUCAUCAUAUACUCAAACAUAGUUGUCUAGCUUAGCUAUAAAAAGUGAUAGAGAAGAGAUUGAGACUAAAUAAUCGUAGUAGUCCUCUUCAUAAUCAGAAGAUAAAGUUAGAAACUUACCUAUAGCCUCUAAACCAUGUCAUAUCAAACCAUGGACCUGACCAUUUAUAAAUGAUGGUGGCAAUUUAAUUAGAUGCGUCAAACAUGCCUGAAGCACGUUCGUUUAACUUCAAAUUUCCUAGCCAAGAUAGAGAAAAAUAAGAAAAAAAGGAUGAGAAAAGCAAACUAACCAUAGUGGACAGUACAAUAAAUCCACAUAGCCAUGCUAUAAAGGGAAAAAGAACAAGAAAAAUAUUUAACUUUGUAAAAGUAUUAUCAAAUCAUCAUGUAUGCAGGACCUUUUUUUUUUUUUUUUUUUUAGGUCAAGCAUGUGUGCAGGACCUUCUACUGGAAGUAUAUGGGGUAA